This 474-nucleotide ribosomal RNA is filed under the name Triticum aestivum (bread wheat). Its description in RNAcentral is "partial small subunit ribosomal RNA". Lineage: Eukaryota; Viridiplantae; Streptophyta; Magnoliopsida; Poales; Poaceae. The record is from RNAcentral.
AUGGCCUUGAGGGGCGCCGCGUCCUCGCCGUCGGCCUCUUCGUCUUCACCACCGCGGCGUCGCGCCGUCUCUUCGAUUGCGGUCGGGGGCUCGACAUUGACAUGCCCCCGGAAUGGCCGUGAGGGGCGGCGUGACCUCGCCGUCGGCCUCGCCUUCUUCACCACCAUCGUUGCGACGCCGGCUGCACGUCCGCGCGCACGCCGCGCGCGGGGCCUCGUUUCGGUCGACCGUGGCCGUCCACGCGCCGCUCGCGCCUGCUUUCCUUCGUGUUGCGCCUUGCUCCGGCCUCCAUAUAUCAUCUACAAGCUAGCUAGAUGCAUCAGUCAACCAUGGUCACGCGUUGCCUAUACAGUUGACGCCCAAGACAUACUCCACCAAAAAUCUCUACGCUGCGUCAUGGCCGCGCCUCCCUGUGCAUGCUGCCAUCCCUCGGCUUGCCUUGGCCACGCCCGUGCGCUCCGUGCCCGCUGCUAG